This 86-nucleotide transfer RNA is filed under the name Candidatus Methanophagales archaeon. RNAcentral describes it as "tRNA-Ser". It matches the Rfam family "tRNA". Rfam says of the family: Transfer RNA (tRNA) molecules are approximately 80 nucleotides in length. Their secondary structure includes four short double-helical elements and three loops (D, anti-codon, and T loops). RNAcentral also lists the same sequence under 1 other name. The record is from RNAcentral. Lineage: Archaea; Methanobacteriati; Methanobacteriota; Methanomicrobia; Candidatus Methanophagales.
GCCGAGGUGGCCGAGCGGACUAAGGCGCAGGCCUGGAGAGCCUGUGUCCCGAAAGGGGCGCAAGGGUUCGAAUCCCUUCCUCGGCG